Molecule: long non-coding RNA, 249 nt
Organism: Centruroides sculpturatus (bark scorpion)
Lineage: Eukaryota; Metazoa; Arthropoda; Arachnida; Scorpiones; Buthidae
Exons: 3
Source: RefSeq, a predicted model, not a curated record
CGCAACGUUAGCUUCAAUGGCUGUUCUGUAGAAAAUGCCUUUGAAUGCAAGAAAAAAAAUCAAAAUUUAGUGAACGGAGCUAAUAGAAGAUGACAAAUUUCAUUUUUCUUUCCUUAUUGGUCAUUUUCUGCCUGACGUGACACAUUGGAAAGAAACAGCAAGAUAACAGAAAUUAAGCAUAAUUUUUCUUUUCGGGUGUCUUUAAUUAUUGUAAAUUUUAAAGGUUUUUAUUAAAAGAAACAAAAUAAA